RNAcentral lists this ribosomal RNA (477 nucleotides) under uncultured anaerobic ammonium-oxidizing bacterium. RNAcentral describes it as "bacterial SSU rRNA". It matches the Rfam family "Bacterial small subunit ribosomal RNA", at positions 365 to 832 of the family's 1533-position model. The record is from RNAcentral.
UUCGCAAUGCCCGAAAGGGUGACGAUGCGACGCCGCGUGAGCGAAGAAGGCCCUAGGGUUGUAAAGCUCUGUCGAGGGUUAUGAAAUAUAGAUGGGUUAAUACCCCAUUUAUUUGACAAAAGCCCAAAAGGAAGCCACGGCUAGCUCUGUGCCAGCAGCCGCGGUAAUACAGAGGUGGCGAGCGUUGUUCGGUAUUAUUGGGCGUAAAGAGCACGUAGGUGGUUUUGUAAGUCAGGUGUGAAAGCCUUCUGUUCAAAGGAAGAACGGCAUCUGAAACUGCAGAUCUUGAGUGUAGGAGGGGAGAGUGGAACUUCUGGUGGAGCGGUGAAAUGCGUAGAUAUCAGAAGGAACGUCGGCGGCGAAAGCGACUCUCUGGCCCGUAACUGACGCUGAGUGUGCGAAAGCUAGGGGAGCAAACGGGAUUAGACACCCCGGUAGUCCUAGCCGUAAACGAUGGGCACUAAGUAGAGGGGUUUU